CCCCCUCCUAUGGCAGAGAUGCCGCCGCCGCCCCCUUCGGCCUUCUUCUCCCUGCGGCUCCCCCCCUUCCUCCAUUCGUCUCCCGUAGGCCUCCCGAAGACUGAUGAUGCCGCCGCCGUCCCCCUCUCCAGCGCAAGAGCCCCGUCGGCGCAGUCCUCUCCUCGCCAUGCUCGACCGCCGUAACCUCCCCAUGGCGCCAGCGUUUCGGACCUCCUUGAGCAGCCUCACAACCCCCCUCGGGUGCGGUGUGACCUGGCCGAGCCUCUGAACUCGUCAGCCGCCCCCCUAGAGCGAUGGCCGCCGGCCCCGUGUGCCCCUCACCUCCUGGUGUCUCGUUAGAGAAGAAGAAAGAAGGAAAGAGAAGCAGAUGUAGUGGUCUCGCGUGGCAGCCCCUCAGGCGCUGACCUAGUGGCCUCGUUGCCAGCGGUAAGUGCCAAUACGUCUUCCAUUUCUAAAAACGCACUUUUGUGCUUCUUCGGCUGAAAGCGUGCUUUCUCUAUUCUGAAGGCGUGUUGCUAUGAAUGCGCUUUCUAUUUUCAGAUGCGUGUGCCGAAAUGGUUAAAUGAUGGGCGUUCGCCCAUUAACAACACAAAUGCACAAAGUUUUAUUUUUUUUCUACUAAAGAACAAACGACCAUAUCGUUUUAACCGUAACUCUGAUUUAGGUAAUUCAAAAGCCUAUGUUCUCAGUGCGUCGAUCCCGUUUUGAUGGUUCCAUUUUCAUAACAAUGUCGUAUGUUGAAAAUGUCAUAUUUGCCCUUCCUCUAUUUUAGGCCCUUCCCGAGUGCACCGGUUCCGACGAUUCGUAUCCGGCGGAUCGUAGCAUUUUCAUUCAGUGCAUCUGUCCUCACCAAGGUAAGCCAACCUCUUAUCAUGAAUCCGAGACUUCUAUGUUGACUUUGGUUGCACCCCGUGUGUGUACGUAACUGUAGUAUAUUCAUGUGUUUGUUUUUUGUGCAUUUCUUGUGUGUCUUAUAUAUGAUCUUAUAGCUUGCCAUGUCAUUCCUUUAUUUUAUAAUUUCUUUUGCUAGAUUAGCUAU
RNAcentral lists this long non-coding RNA (1039 nucleotides) under Hordeum vulgare. RNAcentral's name for it is "long non-coding RNA (HVUL_LNC018989)". Lineage: Eukaryota; Viridiplantae; Streptophyta; Magnoliopsida; Poales; Poaceae. The record is from RNAcentral.